UCAAAUGUUUUGAAGUGGAAAAGUAAGUGAAGAAUGUUUUUACAGAGAAUUGCCAUUAGCUGAGAGGCAAGAAAUUGAAUUUACCGAAAAAUCCCCACUGAGCUAAAAUGCUGAAAUAAGUAAGUAUUUUCGGGAUCUCCCGUUACAGAGAAAUUCAUUAUUGGAUAAGUGCAUCAUUAAGAUGAAUUAGAGUGGUACCGCGAGUUUAUUAACCUCGUCUCUUUG
Peptoniphilus harei ACS-146-V-Sch2b is the source of this 225-nucleotide regulatory RNA element. It matches the Rfam family "T-box leader". Rfam says of the family: Uncharged tRNA acts as the effector for transcription antitermination of genes in the T-box leader family. T-boxes are found upstream of many aminoacyl-tRNA synthetase genes and some amino acid biosynthetic genes usually in Gram-positive bacteria. The record is from Rfam. Lineage: Bacteria; Bacillati; Bacillota; Tissierellia; Tissierellales; Peptoniphilaceae.